UACGGAGGGUCCGAGCGUUAUCCGGAAUUAUUGGGUUUAAAGGGUCCGUAGGCGGGCCGAUAAGUCAGAGGUGAAAUCCCGUCGCUCAACGAUGGAACUGCCUUUGAUACUGUCGGUCUUGAGUCAUGGUGAAGUUGGCGGAAUAUGUAGUGUAGCGGUGAAAUGCAUAGAUAUUACAUAGAACACCGAUUGCGAAGGCAGCUGACUAACCAUGUACUGACGCUGAUGGACGAAAGCGUGGGGAGCGAACAGG
RNAcentral lists this ribosomal RNA (253 nucleotides) under uncultured bacterium. RNAcentral's name for it is "partial 16S ribosomal RNA". It matches the Rfam family "Bacterial small subunit ribosomal RNA", at positions 524 to 776 of the family's 1533-position model. The record is from RNAcentral.